CCAAACUCCUACGGGAGGCAGCAGUAAGGAAUUUUCGGCAAUGGAGGAAACUCUGACCGAGCAAUGCCGCGUGAACGAUGAAGUAUUUCGGUACGUAAAGUUCUUUUAUUAGGGAAGAAAAGAUGGUGGAAAAACCAUUAUGACGGUACCUAAUGAAUAAGCCCCGGCUAACUAUGUGCCAGCAGCCGCGGUAAUACAUAGGGGGCAAGCGUUAUCCGGAAUUAUUGGGCGUAAAGGGUGCGUAGGCGGUUAAAUAAGUUUAUGGUCUAAGUGCAACGCUCAACGUUGUGAUGCUAUAAAAACUGUUUAGCUAGAGUUGGAUAGAGGCAAGUGGAAUUCCGUGUGUAGUGGUAAAAUGCGUAAAUAUACGGAGGAACACCAGAAGCGAAGGCGGCUUGCUGGGUCUUAACUGACGCUGAGGCACGAAAGCGUGGGGAGCAAACAGGAUUAGAUACCCUGGUAGUCCACGCCCUAAACGAUGAGUACUAAACGUUGGAUAAAACCAGUGUUGAAGUUAACACAUUAAGUACUCCGCCUGAGUAGUACGUACGCAAGUAUGAAACUUAAAGGAAUUGACGGGACUCCGCACAAGCGGUGGAUCAUGUUGUUUAAUUCGAAGGUACCCGAAAAACCUCACCAGGUCUUGACAUGCUUUUGCAAAGCUGUAGAAAUACAGUGGAGGUUAUCAGAAGCACAGGUGGUGCAUGGUUGUCGUCAGCUCGUGUCGUGAGAUGUUGGGUUAAGUCCCGCAACGAGCGCAACCCUUGUUGUUAAUUGCCAUCAUUAAGUUGGGAACUUUAGCAAGACUGCCAAUGAUAAAUUGGAGGACGGUGGGGACGACGUCAAUCCAUCAUGCCUCUUAUGACCUGGGCUAACAACGUGAUAACAUUGCUGUUACAAAGGGUAGCUAAGGUGUAAGCUUCUGGCGAAUCUCGAAAAAGCAGUCUCAGUCGGAAUUGAAGUUCGUAAUUCGACUUCAUGAAGUUGGAAUCGCGAUGAAUUGCGCCGCAAUCUGUCGCGGUGAAUACGUUCUCGGGG
This 1038-nucleotide ribosomal RNA is filed under the name Candidatus Phytoplasma solani. Its description in RNAcentral is "bacterial SSU rRNA". It matches the Rfam family "Bacterial small subunit ribosomal RNA", at positions 331 to 1379 of the family's 1533-position model. Lineage: Bacteria; Bacillati; Mycoplasmatota; Mollicutes; Acholeplasmatales; Acholeplasmataceae. The record is from RNAcentral.